AACGAACGCUGGCGGCAUGCCUAACACAUGCAAGUCGAACGAGACCUUCGGGCCUAGUGGCGCACGGGUGCGUAACGCGGGGGAACCUGCCCUAGGUUCGGAAUAACUCCCCGAAAGGGGUGCUAAUACCGGAUAAUGUCUUCGGACCAAAGAUUUAUCGCCUUUGGAUGGGCCCGCGUUGGAUUGGCUAGUUGGUAGGGUAAAAGCCUACCUAUGCGACGGUUCAUGGCUGGUCUGAUAGGCUGCUCCGCCACACUGGGCCUGCGACACGGCCCAGACUCCUACGGGAGGCAGCAGUGGGGAGUAUUAGACGAGGAGCGAAAGCCUGAUACAGCAAUGCCGCGUAAGUGAUGAAGGCCUUAGGGUUGUAAAGCUCUUUUACCCGAGAUGAUAAUGACAGUACCGGGAGAAUAAGCUCCGGCUAACUCCGUG
RNAcentral lists this ribosomal RNA (432 nucleotides) under uncultured bacterium. RNAcentral describes it as "partial 16S ribosomal RNA". It matches the Rfam family "Bacterial small subunit ribosomal RNA", at positions 29 to 507 of the family's 1533-position model. The record is from RNAcentral.